RNAcentral lists this ribosomal RNA (417 nucleotides) under Uncinaria hamiltoni. RNAcentral's name for it is "partial 12S ribosomal RNA". The record is from RNAcentral. Lineage: Eukaryota; Metazoa; Nematoda; Chromadorea; Rhabditida; Ancylostomatidae.
UUAUGUUUUUAAGUUUUAAAUAAUUAUAGGUUAAAUUUUAAUUGUUAUAAGUGUUUAAUUAUAAUUUUAAAUUUUGUUAAUCGAAUUAGAUUAGUACCUAAUUAGUCAAAAGUUAAAAGAGCAGAAGUAAAGUAGAAUUUAAACUGAAAGAAUAUUGGCAGAUUUUCUAAAUUAUCUUUGGAGGUUGAGUGAUAAUUGAGAACCCUCAUUAACUACUUUUUUAGUAGUCUCAUGUAUGAUCGUUUAUUAUAUGCUUAAGGCAUAUAAUUAAAAAUUUUUAUUUAUAAAAAUAGAUAUAUAUUUGGUUUAUAUAAAAGUAAUAUUUGACCUACAAUAAUUUGUAAUUGUGGAUCUACUUUUUAGCGGAGUAGUGAAAAUGUAAAAGACAGUAAAAAAAUUUUUAUGGUUUUUUGAAGA